This 403-nucleotide ribosomal RNA is filed under the name uncultured bacterium. RNAcentral describes it as "partial 16S ribosomal RNA". It matches the Rfam family "Bacterial small subunit ribosomal RNA", at positions 28 to 526 of the family's 1533-position model. The record is from RNAcentral.
GACGAACGCUGGCGGCGUGCCUAAUACAUGCAAGUCGAACGCAGUGGGGACGGGUGAGUAACACGUGGGUAACCUCCCAUCAGAGGGGAUAACACUUGGAAACAGGUGCUAAACCGAUACUGAUGGAUGGACCCGCGGUGCAUUAGCUAGCUGGUGGGGUAACGGCUCACCAAGGCCACGAUGCAUAGCCGACCUGAAAGGAUGAUCGGCCACACUGGGACUGGAACACGGCCACGACUCCUACGGGGAGGAGCAGUAGGGAAUCUUCGGCAAUGGACGAAAGUCUGACCGAGCAACGCCGCGUGAGUGAAAAAGGUUUUCGGAUCGUAAAGCUCUGUUGUUAGAAAAGCGGUAUCUAACCAGAAAGCCACGGCUAACUACGUGCCAGCCGCCGCGGUAAUAC